Molecule: non-coding RNA, 690 nt
Organism: Oncorhynchus mykiss (rainbow trout)
Lineage: Eukaryota; Metazoa; Chordata; Actinopteri; Salmoniformes; Salmonidae
Source: the annotation of a RefSeq genome assembly
CUUCCAGUAUCUGAGAGUCCUAGUACGUCCCUCUGAGUCCUGGGGAGUAGAGAAUAGCAGCUCCCACCAGUUCAGCUUCAACACAAACCAUGUUCCCUGCAUCUCUACUGCUGAUGCUGGCAGCUGUAUCCUGUGCCCACUGUCAGGUCGUACUCACACAGGCUGAACAGUCAGUCCAGGGGACCCCUGCAGGAUCCCUCAAACUCACAUGUGCCUGUAGUGGAUUCACUCUAAGCAGCAGUUACAUGCACUGGAUCCGCCAGGCACCUGGAAAAGGACUUGAAUGGAUCAUUUACUAUUACUCUGAUAGUAACAAGAGCAAUGCCCCUGUAGUACAGGGUAGAUUCACAGCGUUGAAGGACAGCACUAAUUUCUAUCUGCACAUGAACCUGUUGAAGCCAGAGGACUCCGCAGUGUAUUACUGUGCUAGAGACUCACUACGGUUAAACUAAUGAGAAUAGCUGUACAAAAACCAUCUGGUAGAGAAAGGAAGAACCUGCACAAACACACAGACACACGUAUGGUAGGACCUGUAGACCAUGACAAGGGGAUACAUGAGGAACAAUUCUAAUGAUGUAUCAAAUAAUAACCCAAUGAUACACCUGUUAAAAACAUGGUGCUAGUGUUGUUGAUGCACCAACAGGGGACAGUCACUCUCCAUGUGAAAAAAUAAAGACCAGUACUGAUGAA